Molecule: long non-coding RNA, 12733 nt
Filed under: Medicago truncatula (barrel medic)
Lineage: Eukaryota; Viridiplantae; Streptophyta; Magnoliopsida; Fabales; Fabaceae
Description: long non-coding RNA (MTRU_LNC005178)
Source: RNAcentral
UUUCUUUCUCUAUUCCGUUCAUCAUCAAUUCUUCACCAUCAUCAUCAAUCGCCCAAUUCAACACUUAUUCUCAGAAUCUUCAUCUUAGGCUGGCUUCCAAAUAUGAAUGAUAUUUUCUACAUUCAUGGUAGUUUGCUGAGAAGAUUUCAUCUAUUUAUCUAAUCUUCAUCGAAUUCGGCAACACCUUGAAUGUGGCAGCAUUGAUGUUCCAAUCGCAGCUUUAUGUGAGUCUCUCUUACUCUUCUUCCUUUUUUCCUCUGGCAACUUAUUAUUGUGUUGCGUGUGAGGUGUUUGAUAAUUUGACUCAAUGAAAUUUUACUCUAUUAUUUUGCAAUUGUGUGCUUAUCCAGGAAUUAGGUGGAUGAACUGUUAUUUCCGUAUUAGACGAUGCCACUGCCGUGUGAGUAUCUCCCAACAAAUUUGUUUAAAUUUCAAAAUGAUCCUUUAAAUUGAAAAUCUUCGUUCACGUAUGUGAUAUUUUGAACUCUCCACCGAUGCAAAGUGAGUCUGAAGGUAAAUAUUAUUGUCCCCCUUGUUUCCAUUAUGUCUGUAUGUUAUCUACAUCAAUAGGUAUGUACACACUGAAUAUAUAUAUACAGAAAAAUAAUUUUUGCUGCACCAACGGUAGAUAAAAGUGAAAUACUGGCUCUUGUAGGCGAUAAGAUGGAUUCUUUGAUCCUUUAUAAUCUAUGAUUAAAUGGUUGCGUUAUUGAUGAGUCAUAAUUAUGCAUUUCGCAUUGAACUUAGGAAUAAAACGAUUAAUUCUUAAAUCAAGUAGAACUUCUCUUUCAUGAAUGUUGUGUUCAAUAAUCGGUGAUUAGCUAUUUGAAAGUCAUCACUGCAUUUGUUGGUAUCAUAUGAAGUUGUCCAUGAUGGUGAUUAUGAUCUGUUCAAUUUUAGGGCUCAUUCUAUUUCUAUGCAUCCUGAUAACUUAUAUGGGCAUAUGCAGAAUUACUGAAGUGUCCACGAAAAUAGAACCAGUGCAGGAGAAAAAAUAAAGAGCUUAGCACAAAUAGGAUUUUUGAAGUUAUUUAGUGGUUGCCUUAUCGCAUUUGAAGGUUUGCAGGUUAUUUCUUUGUUUACCCUUUGAAUCUCUUUGAUAUUGCUGAAUAAUAACUGUAGUCUCUUAGAUAGAUCUACUCAAUAGAUAAAACUUGGACAAAGUAAAGUAUAUGCAAAAUCAGAACUCUACCAAAUCCACCAACUUCCAAUAGCCCCUUUUCCAUGAAACCCUUUGUAGCAAAGUAUAGAUCUUUGAACUUAAAUCUAUGAGGGCCAUAUUCAUGUUCCCAAUCUUCAAGAAUCUCAGCAAACAUCUUCCGUUUGAUAUAAUAUAUAACCCUAAAGUUAUCAUGAAUAGCGAACUAAGCAAAAUCAAAGGCAACCCAACAGUUAAAAAUUUAGACUUUUUUUUUUCUCAUCAAAUAUACUUAGCUCAGGAGCAAAUAUUCUUGGCUCAGGAAGUUCAGAGAUUUCAAGGUUUUGAGCUUGGCUAUUAACCUUAAAACUCCAACCAAGAAUAUAAUGAGAAGCUACAAUUAACCCUGUUGAAGAUGAGAAUCCAACAUACAUUCUAUUGUUGAGUAUUGGAGAAAGAUCUUUGGUCAAUGAUAACAAAGGUUGUGUUGGUUUAUCACUAAAACCAACACUAAUUGGAGCUAAAGUAACAUCAUAAUAUCCAUACCUGCAUAUCCACUGGAAAGGGAUAAAUUCCUGAAUCCAUAAUCAUCAUAAUAUCCUGCAGGAGUUGAAUUAGCUGAUUUCAAAUCAUUGAUAUCAAUACCAAUAUGGUUAUCAUUGAUUUCAUCAAACUCAAAAUUUUGAUCAGUGUCAAGCUCAAUACCAAAAACAUGGCUGCUACUGUUUCCAUUGUUGGAAUUGUUAGAGACCAAGGUAUUAAUAUUGUAGUGAAUUUGGUAGCCCUUUUGUAGGUGAAAUAACAAAAACAAUUCCAUGGCCACUAUGAGUUGGAUAUUAAGAUUUUAUAGCAAAUAAAGAAUUAGUUGAGAAAGAAGACACACUUUCACUGAGUGUUUUUGAAAACUAUAGGAUUUGGAUAGAAAGCAUUGCCAUCAAGAUAUAAAUGUGAUGAUUGGAAUCCACUUUAUUUAUAGAUAAAGCAACAUGAACACAAGUCUGAGGAACAUGAUUAUAGUUUGAGAAUGAAUCAUGCUUCUGUAGUUCUGUUCGAGUGUUCGGUGUUUAUUAUUUAUAAGAUUUUGUGCUAAGUGAAGGAAAAAUUGCAUGUCUAAUUCGGGUCCUACUAAGAAAUUUCCUAGAACCUAGCUACGAAUUAUUACUAAAAGAAACAUCACAUGGUUACUAAAAUUGCCUUAUCAUCUGGGUCCUACUAAGAAAUGUCUCAUUUAGUUUAGUGAAGAGAAUGUGUUAUACAUUUGAAUCACAAUUUUUUUUUAUUUUUUUUCCAACAGUAGUAGUGGGUGAAUGUUUUUUUAACAUUUACAUAUUAAGUGUUUGAUGCUAAAUUGAAUAUGUGAAAUUUAAUUAUCAAUGUGUUCUAAUUUCUUAGAAUAAGUAGUGUUUUUUUUUAAUCCUGAAUGUGUGGACUUGACCAGUUACUAUUGAUUAUUGAUUAUGCUUCAAAUCAAAUGAUGAAUGAAUAUGUGGUGGAAAGAUAAAAAGAUAUAUGUUGGUUUGACUCAAUUUCAUACUCACUCCGUCUCUAAAUAUAAGACUCCUCUACAAAUUACUAAAUACAUUUAUUGCUCUUUUUUUUCCAAUAUACUAUCAAUUUAUCUAAGAAUAUGAAAAUUAACUUUGAAUGCACUUUUAUAAAAAGGGUAAUUUAGAAAUAGUAACACACAUUUCAGACAAAUUUAUUACUCGAAAGACUUUUUUUAGUACCCGUGAUUUUUGUAAAGUGUUCUUCUAAAAAAGGAUGGAGGGAAAAUUUUUCUUCAUGCAAAAAUCAUGGUGAAAUUUCGAGCCACAUGUUCCAUCGGUCACAUGUGUUGGCAAAUUGCAGGGAGAUGGAGGCAAAUCACCGGGUAAUUUACUCGUGAUUGACAGCUAUAAAAUACAAUUUUAGACCUGGUUGUUUUGCAAUCUUUCUACUCUAAAGGAGUUAAGGAACUAAUAGGGUGAGGGUUGAGUGUUUUGCAUGAUAUUCUUAUGUUGGAAAACAUCAUGAGAUCUCAUUAGAGUAAAUAUCAAACUCUUUUUCUAGUUUUCUCCUUAGAUCUCAAUUUAGGUUUUAGUGACUUGAAAAAUGGAUAGAAAUUAGAGAUUGUUCUUAUUGUCUACAAGAAUGGUAAAGGUAUUCUUUACCUAGGGCUUUGGUCAAUUUACUCUCAAAUUGUUUCAAACAAACUAAUUUGGCUGAAAUUUUUUUAAUUUCAGGGAUCAUUUUAGAAGUAUGAGUAAUUUGGUUGAAAUUCUUUUAAUUUCAGGGAGAUGAAUGGAAAAUUGAAAUUUAUCACAGCAUUCGUUGGUAAAGUAUGAAGUCGUCCAUGAUAGUGAUUAUGAUGUGUUCAAUUUUAGGGCUCAUUCUAUACAUCCCGUUAACUUAAUCUUAUAUGUGCAUAUGCAGAACUACUGAAGUGUUGAAGAAAAUCGAACGAGUAAAGGAGAAAAGAUGAAGAGCUUGUUUGAGUCUUUAGAACAAAUAUAAUUUCUGAAGUUAUUUAGUGGUUGCCUUAUUGCAUUUGAGGUUUUGCAGGUUAUUUCUUAGUUUACCCUUUGAAUCUCUGUGAUAUUACUGAACAAUAAUUGUAGUCUCUCGUUUACUCAAAAUAGAUACAAACUUGGACGCAAUGAAGUAUAUACAAAAUCAAAACAAAAAAAGUUUAAUGAGAAAAUGAUUUUAUGUAACUAUUAAACCAUUUACUCAAACAUGAUUUCACUUUUUAGAUAACAAACUCUCUUUAAUCCUUUUUACCAAAAUUUAAUACAUUACAAAAUCAAAAUGCACCAAUUAAGCAUCAAUUAGACGUGUCUUUUGAAAUCAACGACCACCCGAGAGAACAGAUUCAGCAAUUAACGCUGAAGUAUAUGGCAUUCUCCUGUCCUCAACAAAUAAUUGGUACCCAAAAGUUAAACCAGAAGAAGAUAAACUAAGCGAAGAAAAAUCUGGCAAAGGUGUAUCCCUCUCCAAAUACUGUACAACUUGUCUCAUACUUGGUCUAGCCAAAGGCUCUGAAUGUGAACACAACAAGCCAAGUUUCAACACCAAUUCCACCUCUUCAGACACAUAAUUUGUUCCUAAAUGAACAUCUUUUGCCUCAAGAAUCUCACCUCUUUGCCAACAUUCAAACACAGAAUCAACUAGAAUUAGACUCUCAUUGUCUCCUACACGACCUAUAGGCCUCCUACCACAAACAACCUCAAGAAGAAAUGCACCAAAAGAAAACACAUCAGAAAAUUUAGUAGCCUUACCUCUUCUAAUAUGUUCAGGAGCAAGAUAACCAAUAGUUCCAGCCAAAUGAGUUGUGUGAGGAUCAGCACCAUGAUCAUGCAACCUUGAAAGACCAAAAUCUCCCAAUCUAGCAUUAAAUCCAGAAUCUAACAACACAUUACUAGCCUUUAUGUCUCUAUGAAUAACAACUUUCUCCCAUUCUUCAUGAAGAUAAACCACACCUGAAGCAACACCUUUGAUGAUUCUAAAUCUUUGACUCCAAUUCAACCUCACUUUUGGUUGGUUAUAUAGAUAGUUGUCUAAACUUCCAUUCGGCAUGUAAUCAUAAACCAAAAGUAACUCGCUUUUUCGCCUGCAAUAGCCAUGAAGUUGAACAAGAUUCCUGUGCCGAAGACGACCGAUACUAACAAUUUCCGACACAAAUUCCCUCAUCCCUUGUCUUGAUUCAUGAGACACCCUUUUCACAGCAACCUCAAGUUUGGAACUUUGUAUCACACCUUUGUAGACUCUACCAAAUCCACCAACUCCCAAUAGCCCCUUUUCCCUGAAACCCUUUGUGGCUGAGUAUAGAUCUUUGAACUUAAAUCUACGUGGGCCAUAUUCAUGUUCCCAAUCUUCAAGAACCUCAUCAAACUUCUUCAAUUUGACAUAAUACAUAACCCCUAAAGUUAUCAUGAAUACCAAACUUAGGAAAAUCAAUGGCAAUCCAACAGUUAAAAAUUUCGACUUUUUUUUCUCUGCAGGUAGUUUAGGAAGUUCAGAGAUUUCAAGGUUUUGAGCUUGACCAUUAACCUUAAAACUCCAACCAAGAAUAUACUGAGAAGCUACCAUUAACCCUGUUGAAGAUGAGAAUCCAACAUACAUUCUAUUGUUGAGAAUUGAAGAAAGAUCUUUGGUCAAUGAUAACAAAGGUUGUGUUGGUUUAUUACUAGCACCAACACUCAUUGGUGCUAAAGUAACAUCAAUCUUUUUCUUCACUCCAUCAUAUUCAAUCCAUACCUGCAUAGGGUAUCCACUGGAAAGGGAUAAAUCCUUGAAUUGACCAUAACCAUCAUAAUAUCCUGCAGGAGUUGAAUCAGCUGAUUUCAAAUCAUUGAUAUCAAUUCCAACAUGGUUAUCGUUGAUAUCAUCAAACUCAAAAUUUUGACGAGUGUCAAGCUCAACACCAAAAACAUGGUUGCUACUGUUUCCACUGUUGGAAUCGUUAAAGAGACCAAGGUAUUGACUUGGUAGUGAAUCUGGUAGCCCUUUUGUUGGAGAAAUAACAAAAACAAUUCCAUGGCCACCAAUAUUUGCAUAUUGAGGUAUUAUGGCAAAUAAAAAAGUAGUUGAGAAAGAAGACACGCUUUCACUGGAAGUGUUUUUGAAAACUAUUGGAUUUGGAUAGAAACCAUGUCCUUUGUCUCUUUCUGUAUCAUUGGUGAGUUUUAGUAAGCCAUUUGUAGUUAACUCAGCAAUACCAUCAAGAUAUAAAUGUGAUGAUUGGAAUCCAUUAUAUAUGAAACUGUUGUCUUCACUUGCAACCAAUGUAACAUGAAAAAACAACAUGAACACAUGUCUGAGGAACAUGAUUAUAGGUUGUGAAUAAUAAUGCUUAUACAGUUCGGUUCAUUGUUUCUUAUUUAUUAUUUUUUAUUUAUAAUAUUUUGUCCUAUUGCUAGUCUCAUUUGGGACCUACUAAUAAGUGUCCCUUUACCUAACUUAGCUACGUAUUAUCACCAAAAGAAACAUCAAAUCAAAUGGUUACUAAAAUUGCGUAUCUCAUUUGAGUCAAUUUAAGUGGUGGAAGGAUGGAUAAAGAUAAUGUUGGUUUUGACUAAAAUGACUGGGGCAGUUUUUAAAGGAGAUAAUUUUUAGGAAACUUGGAAGUUAAGAGUUGAGUUGGAAAGAUUCUUUCUUCCUCUAACAUAGGUCAUUUUGGGCCGAAUUAGGUAAACAAUUUGAAAAUCGCUCUUUAAGCUUGAAAAAUUGUUCUCUUGCACCUUAAAAUUUCAUUAAUACCCCCAACAGCAAUGAAUUAUCGUCGCUACCCAGCAGCAGUUAAUUGUCGUUCGGUCUUUUUGCAACCACAAUUGUGUUCAACUGCAGUUGCGUUCGAGACUUAUUCUAGAACAGUAACAACACGUGUUCUGGAUUUAUUUUAUAAAAGCAAAAAUAGUUAUCACUUUUGUUUGAAACACAAAACUCCAAUCUCACUCAAAUGAAUCUCAUCCAAUUUCUUUCAUCAAAAUCAAAAGUUAUCAACUAUUCUACAAGUAAGUGUUAAUAAUCUCUUCUAUUCACAUUGUUAGUUUUAUAUAAUUUUUUUUCCUUCAAAAUUUGGUGGAAAUGUUAGUGUUUAUGAUUGGAUAAAUUAUUGAUAUUUUGGGUAGUCUGUGAUCCUAUAUAUGCAUGUUUUGACUAUAAAUGUUGUUUAAACUAAAUUUAAGUUCAAUGUUGUAGUUUAAAAGUUGAAAUAACACAAUGAAUAAAUGUUGUAUAUUUUGUACUACAAGCGUUUGAUGAAAUGCUUGAAUGAGUUUUUCAUUGAUAUUUUUAUUGUCUUUUGUUGUGUAGAUAUGACUGAGAACCUACAUAUGCGUAAAGAGACCAUGACAAGCAGUUCCCGCAAGGAGAGAGUGACAGUGAACCCUACUAAAAUCUGCAUUUCCAACGAUGUACGUCACAAACUGCCAAUGCAUUUAACCAAAUUUUUAGCAUUCUUUCUAUUUAAUUAGUUUUUCUUAUACUUUGUCUAUUUGAUCUUUUUAUCAAUUUUAAUUAUUCAGAUAUAGAUUGUUUCUUUCUACAUCUGCUGCACAAUUCACAAAUCAUGAUUUUGAUGAUGUGAUCAUCAAGGUUGGCUAGGAUAAGAAGAUUUUUGCAUCUAGUAUAUAUCUUUGAAAUGGAGAUAACUUGAUUUCCUUUCCUUACAGUAUUUUUUUAUUUUUUUAAAUCAAGGAGUAACCUUUGCGCAAAUCCUUGACGAAUCCCACGGGGUAACUGAGAUCCAAUAAUCAACGAAUGAGCUAUUUUUUAUACACAUAGUCCAGGUACCCUAAAACAAAUGUUUAAGAGACUCAAAUAUCUACCACAGUACCAGUUAUGCCACAUAUAUUGGAUGUUUCUUUAGAAUGGAUGAUUUGUAUAGAAAAGCCGACUGCAAAGGAAAAUUCAAAUAAAAACUCGUGAAUUAAUAUGUUGAAGUGUGAUUUAACAAUAAAAAAUUUAUAAGCAAAGUAAAUUAAAUAAAAUGCCUAAAAAUCCAUCUAUUCCAAUCAACUAAAUACCUUUCUGCAAAUGUAAAAAUAAUUCAAAGCAGCUACGCAACGCGCAGGUCAAAAUCUAGUUAAUCACAUAAUGUCCAUGUAUUAUGUAUAUGUACACAUAAAUCAGUGUUUUAUACCAGUGCAUUGUGGCCGGUUUACAGAUUUCAGUUUGCAGAGUGUUAUAUAGCCAGUGCUGUCAAAUUUAGAGGCGCUAUAGUGCUGCCGAAUAGAAGAAUUUGACCAAAUUGCUAUUGUUCCGUAAUAAAGCCCUUUUGUACAAAAUGUUGUCAUUAAUAAUGGCUAUAGAAGCACUAUAGUACCGUACCAUAGUAGAAUUUGAACAAACCGCUAUGCUGCAACAUUCAACACUGGUUAUAUAGUCACUGGUCAGUUAUGGUAUUUCCGGCUCGUAUUGACAUUUUUUGGCACCCCCACUGGUUGUUAGCAUUUUCGACUACUCAGCCUCAACCACACACAUUCUUCUUCUUCUUAAUCCUUUGUAUACUCAUUUGUUCAUACUUCUCUUUGCAACUUGUCUUUUUCUUUAACCCUACAUUCUUGCUCUGCAGCAACUCAAUCCCCCAUUGUUCUGUUUUUCUAUACUAGGUUGUUAAUUAUGAAUGUCUGUAAUUUUGUGUAACUUUUUUUUAUUUCUUUGAAAAUUUAUUUACAUAAAGCAUAAAAUAUUUAUGUUGGAUAUAUAAUCUUUGGUAUAGAGUUAUAUCAUCAUCUACUAUCUCUCAGUAGCGUUCGUGGGAUCUAUUACAUGUAUCAAAUGACUGCAUAAUAUUUACCAUGGGCUACAUCUAUGAAUAUAAAUUAAAACUCACGUACCUACCUAUUAGGAGAAAGAGACUACAUUAAAACAUAAACACUACAUAAAACUCGUGUAUCUAUUACACUAUUAACUCAAAUAUGAUUUUACAUUUGAUUUAACAAACUCUCCUUAAUCCAUUUUACCAAAAUCUAACGACAACCAGAGAGAAUUGAGUCGGCAAUAGACACAGAAGUCUGUGACAUUGUGUUGCCCAUAGAGGAAGGAUAAGACAAAGGAAAGUCCUCAAAAAAUUCUUGGUACCCAAAAGUUAAUCCAGAAGAAGAUAAACUAAGCAAAGACAAAUCUGGCAAAGGUAUAUCCCUCUCCAAAUACUGCACAACUUGUCUCAUACAUGGUCUAGCCAAAGGUUCUGAAUGUGAACACAACAAUCCAAGUUUCAACACCAACUCCACCUCUUCAGACACAAAGUUUGUCCCCAAAUUUACAUCUUUUGCCUCAAGAAUAUCACCUCUUUUCCAACACUCAAAUACACAAUCAACCAAAAUUACACUUUCAUUUUCCCCAACAUUAGAAAUAGGCCUUCUACCACAAGCAACCUCAAGAAGAAAUGCACCAAAAGAAAACACAUCAGAAAAUUUAGUAGCCUUACCUGUUCUAAUAUGUUCCGGAGCAAGAUAACCAAUAGUUCCAGCCAAAUGAGUCGUGUGAUGAUCUGCACCAUGGUCAUACAACCUUGAAAGACCAAAAUCUCCCAAUCUAGCAUUAAAUUCAGAAUCUAACAACACAUUACUAGCUUUUAUGUCUCUAUGAAUUACAACUUUCUCCCAUUCUUCAUGAAGAUAAACCACGCCUGAAGCAACACCUUUGAUGAUUCUAAAUCUUUGACUCCAAUUCAACCUCACUUUUGGUUGGUUGUAUAAAUAUUUGUCUAAACUUCCAUUCGGCAUGUAAUCAUAAACCAAAAGUAACUCGCUUUUUCGCCUGCAAUAGCCAUGAAGUUGAACAAGAUUCCUCUGCCGAAGACGACCGAUACUAACAAUUUCCGACACAAAUUCCCUCAUCCCUUGUCUUGAUUCAUGAGACACCCUUUUCACAGCAACCUCAAGUUUGGAACUUGGUAACACACCUUUGUAGACUCUACCAAAUCCACCAACUCCCAGUAGCCCCUUUUCCCUGAAACCCUUUGUGGCAAAGUACAAAUCUUUGAACUUAAAUCUAUGUGGGCCAUAUUCUUGUUCCCAAUCUUCAAGAAUCUCAGCAAACUUCUUCCGUCUGAUAUAAUACAUAACCCCUAAAGUUAUCAUGAAUAUCAAACUUAUCAAAAUUAAAGGCAACCCAACAGUUAAAAAAUUUGAUUUCGUUUUCUCAGCUAAUACUGGUAACUCAGGAAGUUCAGAGAUUACAAGGUUUUGAGCUUGACCAUUAAUCUUAAAACUCCAACCAAGAAUAUAAUGAGAAGUUAGAAAUGAACCAGUAGCUGAUGAAAAUCCAACAUACAUACUAUUGUUAAGAAUUGGAGAAAGAUCUUUGGUCAAUGAUAACAAAGGUUGUUUUGGUUUAACAACAUUAAUUGGAGCUAAAGUAACAUCAAUCUUUUUCUUUUCACCAUCAUAUUCAAUCCAUACCUGCAUAGGAUAGCCACUGAUAAGGCUUAUAUUCUUGAAUUGACCAUUACCAUCAUAAUAUCCUGCAGGAGUUGAAUUAGCUGAUUUCAAAUCAUUGAUAUCAAUACCAACAUGGUUAUCAUUGAUAUCAUCAAACUCACGAUUUUCAAUAGUAUCAAGUUCAACACCAAAAACGUGGUUGCUAGGAUUUCCAUUGUUGGAAUCGUCAAAGAGACCAAGGUAUGAACCUUGGAGUGAAUUUGGUAGCCCUUUUGUAGGAGAAAGAACAAAAACAAUUCCAUGGCCACUAUAAGUUGGACCUUGAUGUCUUAUGGCAAAUACAAAAGUAGUUGAGAAUGAAGAAACACUUCCAUUGGAAGUGUUCUUCAAAACUAUAGGGUUUGGAUAGAAAGCAUGUGCUUUUUCUUGUUUGGUGUCAUUGGUGAGUCUUAGUAAGCCAUUGGAGGUUAAAUUAGCAAUACCAUCAAGAUACAAAUGAGAUGAUUGGAAAUCAUUAUAGAUGAAACUUUUGUCUUCACUUGGUACCAAUGUAACAAGAAAAAACAACAUAAACACAAGCCUGAGGAACAUGAUUAUAGUUUGUGAAUAAUAAUGCUUAUACAGUUCUGUUCAGUGUUUAUUAUUUAUUAUUUAUUAUGUAUAAGAUUUUGUCCUAGGUGAAGAAAAAAUUGCAAGUCUAAUUUGGGUCCUACUAAGAAAUGUCUUGGAACCUAACUUAGCUAUGAAUUAUCACCAAAAGAAACAUCAAAUGGUUACUAAAAUCGCGUAUCUCAUUUGGGUCCUACUAAGAAAUGUCUCAUUUAGUUUAGUAAAAAUGAACUCAUUUGGGACCAUUUGAAUAGUUGUGCACAUUUGAACUACCAAUUUUUUUCCCAACUGCACAUUUUCAAUGUUUACGUAUUGAGUGUUUGAUGCUAAAUUGAAUAUGUGAAAUUAAAACAUCAAUGUCGUCUAAUUUCUUCAAAUAAGCAUAGUUUUUUUUUUUAAGUUCACACUUGAAUGUGUGGAUUUGACCGAUUACUAUUGAUUAUCUAUGAUUUGCUUGGCUGCUAAGAAAAUGAUGAAUGAAUAAGUGGUGGAGGAUGCAUAAAGAUACCGUUGGUUUUGAAUCAAAAUUUCAUAUUUUUCUUCAUGGAAAAAUCGUAGGCCAAUUAAAGUCAGCCUGUUUCAUUGGUCAUAUGUGCUGGCAAGUUGCAGGGAGAUGGAGGUAAAUCACGAGGCAAUUUACUCAGGAUUGACAACUAUAAAAUUCAGUUUUUGACAUAUUUGUCGAGCAAUCUUUCUACUCUAAAUCAGAGAAUUUUUAAGGAAUUUAGAGGUUCAGAGUAACCUUAAAAAGUAACUUAAUAACAUAACUUUGUUCUCCAAAAACUUUACUGUCUUUUCAAUUUUCUGGUUCUUCUUCAUUUCUUGUCCACCACUUUAUCAUAGCUUCUGUUUUUCACAUAUGCCCACACGACCUAAAAUGAGCUUACCAUUUUUUCUACAAUGGAGCCAUCUCAACUUUUUCUCUGCUGUUUAUUUAAUUUAUUUAAUUCAGGGUUAAAAACCAUGUAAUGGACUAAUUUUAAAACCUAACUUUCUUUUUUAGGUGCUGCACUGUCUGUAAAGAGAAGUGACAUAUUGGCUCUUGCUAUAGGUAUGAUGGACUCUUUGAUCCUCUACAAUCAAUGAUUGGUUUAUUGUGUCAUUCACGGGUGAUAAUUCUGGAUGUCACAAUGAAUGUUGGGAUAAAAUGGUUUGUUUAAAUCGAGUAAAACUUCUGUUUCAUGAAUGGUGUGUUCAUCAACUGGUAACAAUUAUAGCAACUAUAGAAGAAAGGCUUAAGUGGGGUGUGGGUUUUCCUACUAUAGGUGUUUCAAUUGUUUUACAUGCACUGAGGCAUUCUUUAGAAUCAAGUGCAUUUCAGAUAUGGCUCAAUAAAUGUUAUAUUUGAUUUAGACUGAAUCACCAUUUAAGUCUAUAAAUUACAGGGGUUGAAAUUUUUAAUGUUAGUCCUUUUGGGUCGGUCAAUAUAGUCCUUGAAAUUGUCUUGAAGAUACUAAAGUGAUUGAAAAUUUUCAAUUUCAAUGAUCAUUUUAGAAUAUGUUAAUUUUAGGGGCUAGAUUGCAUGAUGUCGUGACCAAUACUAUUAUAAGACUGAAAUAGGUUAUUCGCUCUUUCGUUUUAUGUUAUUUGAUGUGUCUAUGCUAGGUGGUGCUUACCUAAAGAUUCUUGAUGGCUACAUUAGUUCAUAUGUUGUUGCUAUCUGAUGAAUGGAAAAUUUAAAUUUGUUGGUCGAGGGUUGAGUACCUCGAUUGGUUUGAGCUAAGGGUUAAGAAGUUGGAGGUCGUCUGUUCAAAUUUUGGUAAUGUCGACAUUGUCCAUGACAGUGAUUAUAAUUAUGAUGUGUUGUUCAAUUUUAAUAUUUAAGGCUCAUUCUACGCAUGCUGAUAACUUAAUCCUGCCAAGCCCUGUAUAUUAACAUUGAUUAGUUGCUCAAUAUUACAGGUGGAUAUCUAAGCUGUAUUUCGAUGAUAUUCUAGAAAAUACAGAAGCAAAUAUAUGUCUUGUUAUCGAUGCUCGUAUUUGGAGGAUUCUAUAAAUUGAGCCAUCUUCUGCUGCUAGUUCAGGUUGAAGUUGAACUAGUGAUAAAUGAUAAAAAUAAACUAAUGUUGUGCAAAAUUAGUUCAGUGUUGCUUGUAGCUAAAAUGUUAUGCUGCCAUGC